GACGAACGCUGGCGGCGUGCUUAACACAUGCAAGUCGAACGGAAAGGCCCCCACCUUGGUGGGGGUGCUCGAGUGGCGAACGGGUGAGUAACACGUGGGUGAUCUGCCCUGUACUUCGGGAUAAGCUUGGGAAACUGGGUCUAAUACCGGAUAGGACCAUGGUUUAGUGUCUCAUGGUGGAAAAAUUAUUGUUUUGGUGCAGGAUGAGCUCGCGGCCUAUCAGCUUGUUGGUGGGGUAAUGGCCUACCAAGGCGUCGACGGGUAGCCGGCCUGAGAGGGUGGACGGCCACAUUGGGACUGAGAUACGGCCCAGACUCCUACGGGAGGCAGCGGUGGGGAAUAUUGCACAAUGGGCGCAAGCCUGAUGCAGCGACGCCGCGUGGUGGAUGACGGCCUUCGGGUUGUAAACUCCUUUCGUUAGGGACGAAGCCACACCUUUUUUGGGUGUGGUGACGGUACCUUUGUUAAGAAGCACCGGCUAACUACGUG
RNAcentral lists this ribosomal RNA (489 nucleotides) under uncultured bacterium. RNAcentral describes it as "partial 16S ribosomal RNA". It matches the Rfam family "Bacterial small subunit ribosomal RNA", at positions 28 to 507 of the family's 1533-position model. The record is from RNAcentral.